CUGCUGGGGCGAGCGAGGGGCAGCCCCGGCCAGAGGCGGAGGAGGAGGAGGAGGACGGAGAGGGGGAGGAAGAUGGUGGAGCUGGAGGCAACAGCGGCCAGAGGGAAGGCUCGUGCCCAGGCUGGCCGCCCACCCUGUCAUUACCUCCGCGCCGCCUGCUAACGUGGGCCCCGCCAGACCCCAGCUGUCAGGCUCCAAGGCUGAGUUGCAUCUGCUGACAUUGGUGGGUCUUAUUGCCCCUGCCUCUGAAUGAACUGAAUACCGUGGUGCAGCAGAGAGUUCAAGGCUGGGAAUCAGGAGAGACGGGGAUUUGAAUCUGCCUGCCUCUGAUGCUUACAGACUGCCUGAUCCAGGGUAAGUCAUAAAAAUUUCUGUAUAAAUGUCAACUCUGCUAAUUUCCUGCUCUGCUGCCUCACCCUA
RNAcentral lists this long non-coding RNA (420 nucleotides) under Vombatus ursinus (common wombat). RNAcentral's name for it is "lncRNA (ENSVURG00010007253.1)". The record is from RNAcentral. Lineage: Eukaryota; Metazoa; Chordata; Mammalia; Diprotodontia; Vombatidae.